This 468-nucleotide ribosomal RNA is filed under the name uncultured bacterium. Its description in RNAcentral is "partial 16S ribosomal RNA". It matches the Rfam family "Bacterial small subunit ribosomal RNA", at positions 28 to 507 of the family's 1533-position model. The record is from RNAcentral.
GACGAACGCUGGCGGCGUGCUUAACACAUGCAAGUCGAACGGAAAGGCCCUGCUUUUGUGGGGUGCUCGAGUGGCGAACGGGUGAGUAACACGUGAGUAACCUGCCCUUGACUUUGGGAUAACUUCAGGAAACUGGGGCUAAUACCGGAUAGGAGCUCCUGCUGCAUGGUGGGGGUUGGAAAGUUUCGGCGGUUGGGGAUGGACUCGCGGCUUAUCAGCUUGUUGGUGGGGUAGUGGCUUACCAAGGCUUUGACGGGUAGCCGGCGUGAGAGGGUAACCGGCCACAUUGGGACUGAGAUACGGCCCAGACUCCUAGGGGAGGCAGCAGUGGGGAAUAUUGCACAAUGGGCGGAAGCCUGAUGCAGCAACGCAGCGUGCGGGAUGACGGCCUUCGGGUUGUAAACCGCUUUCGCCUGUGACGAAGCGUAAGUGACGGUAAUGGGUGAAGAAGCACCGGCUAACUACGUG